This 25-nucleotide non-coding RNA is filed under the name Cricetulus griseus (Chinese hamster). Lineage: Eukaryota; Metazoa; Chordata; Mammalia; Rodentia; Cricetidae. The record is from RNAcentral.
AGACUUGGAACCAGUAGUUAAGCAG